This 72-nucleotide transfer RNA is filed under the name Hemidactylus frenatus (common house gecko). RNAcentral describes it as "tRNA-Gln". It matches the Rfam family "tRNA". Rfam says of the family: Transfer RNA (tRNA) molecules are approximately 80 nucleotides in length. Their secondary structure includes four short double-helical elements and three loops (D, anti-codon, and T loops). Lineage: Eukaryota; Metazoa; Chordata; Lepidosauria; Squamata; Gekkonidae. The record is from RNAcentral.
UAGGGUGUAGUAUAAUUGGUAGUACGCGAGAGUUUGAGUCUUGUAGUGUGGGUUCGUAUCCCGGCGCCUUAG